GGGCGGCAGGUUUAGAAGGCUGAAACACUGCGGAGGUGCACCUAUGCAGAGAGGCGGGUUCGACUCCCGUGCCGUCCACCA
This 81-nucleotide transfer RNA is filed under the name Bacteroides uniformis. Its description in RNAcentral is "tRNA-OTHER". It matches the Rfam family "tRNA". From Rfam's summary of the family: Transfer RNA (tRNA) molecules are approximately 80 nucleotides in length. Their secondary structure includes four short double-helical elements and three loops (D, anti-codon, and T loops). RNAcentral also lists the same sequence under 2 other names. The record is from RNAcentral. Lineage: Bacteria; Pseudomonadati; Bacteroidota; Bacteroidia; Bacteroidales; Bacteroidaceae.